Molecule: non-coding RNA, 1061 nt
Organism: Vicugna pacos (alpaca)
Lineage: Eukaryota; Metazoa; Chordata; Mammalia; Artiodactyla; Camelidae
Source: the annotation of a RefSeq genome assembly
UACAGUGAAAACAUCCCAGCAAGAAGGCGAGGCGUCAUGAAGAGGCUGGUGGGCGCUGUGCUGGGGCUUCUGUGUGCCCAGGUUUGCUGUGUGACAGGGCAGGAUGUGGAGCAGAGUCCUCCAGUCCUGAGUCUCCAGGAGGGAGCCACCUCUACGCUGUGGUGCAAGUUUUCCACCACUGUGUCCAAUGUGCAGUGGUAUUGUCAGAACUCCGGGGGCCGCCUCAUCCACCUGUUUUACGUUGCUUCAGGGACAAAGCACGAUGGAAGAUUCAGUGCCACAGCAGUCAUUCAAGAACGCCGCAGCUCCUUGAACAUUUCCUCUUCCCAGACCACAGACUCAGCCACUUACUUCUGUGCUGUGAGCACAGUGCUCCCCGGGCACCUGCAGCCUGAACACAAACCCUCAGUGGGCUCGGCCCCCUCCAGCCACAGUCUCACCGUGAGGCCGCCACCUGCAUCUGCAGGGCUUAUCAGUCCCCACCUACAUCAGUGUAGUUUCAAUCACAGACACGUUUUCACCCUACAGAUUUGGGACUUUGGUGUUUAUCUUCCUUCUCAAUCUGUAUCUCCUUCUGCACUGAAAACGUCUAACUUGGGACUAGCAGAGUAGCUGAUAAGAGGACAGAAUUCAGAAUUAAAACACAUAUUUACCACAGUAGGCUGGACUCCAAGAUGGUGAAAUGUGAAAGGGAUUAAAAGAAAAGUCACUCCAAUAAAGAUAUUAUCCAGCUUAGCCGGGUGUCUGAAGAACGUCCAGGUCCACCUCAGUGCGUCCCAACAGGCGAUUGUGAGUACAUCCUACCAGUGCUGCAAAGCCAACAGACCAAAUUCAAAGUUCAAUAUGAACUUGAUCACUUAGAACAAAUUUAUUUCUUGUGUUUCUACAUGCAAAAAGUCUGAAAUCAAUUUCACUGUCUGCAAUCAAGGUCUUGGCAGGCUUGGCUCCUUCUAGAGGCUCUGAAGGAGAUUCCAGUUCCUUGUCUCUUCCAGCUACUGGAGGCCACCUGGAUUCCUCGGCUCAUGAGCCUUUCUUGAAUCUCUCCAACCUCUUGCUUCCAC